AGGUAAGCUACUAAGAGCGAAUGGUGGAUGCCUUGACUGGUAAAGGCGAUGAAGGACGUACUAGACUGCGAUAAGCUACGGGGAGCUGUCAAGAAGCUUUGAUCCGUAGAUUUCCGAAUGGGGCAACCCAAUGUAUAGAGAUAUACAUUACCUAUAUAGGAGCGAACGAGGGGAAUUGAAACAUCUUAGUACCCUCAGGAAAAGAAAUCAAUAGAGAUUGCGUCAGUAGCGGCGAGCGAAAGCGCAAGAGGGCAAACCCAGUGCUUGCACUGGGGGUUGUAGGACUGCAAUAUGCAAGAGGUAAGUUUAGCAGAACAUUCUGGAAAGUAUAACCAUAGAGGGUGAUAGUCCCGUAUGCGAAAAACAAACCUUAGCUAGCAGUAUCCUGAGUAGGGCGGGACACGAGGAAUCCUGUCUGAAUCCGGGUCGACCACGAUCCAACCCUAAAUACUAAUACCAGAUCGAUAGUGCACAAGUACCGUGAGGGAAAGGUGAAAAGAACUGAGGUGAUCAGAGUGAAAUAGAACCUGAAACCAUUUGCUUACAAUCAUUCA
Molecule: ribosomal RNA, 554 nt
Filed under: Campylobacter jejuni
Lineage: Bacteria; Pseudomonadati; Campylobacterota; Epsilonproteobacteria; Campylobacterales; Campylobacteraceae
Description: partial 23S ribosomal RNA
Rfam family: Bacterial large subunit ribosomal RNA
Source: RNAcentral